AACGAACGCUGGCGGCAUGCCUAACACAUGCAAGUCGAACGAGACCUUCGGGUCUAGUGGCGCACGGGUGCGUAACGCGUGGGGACCUGCCCUUAGGUUCGGAAUAACUCCCCGAAAGGGGUGCUAAUACCGGAUAAUGUCUUCGGACCAAAGAUUUAUCGCCUUUGGAUGGGCCCGCGUUGGAUUAGCUAGUUGGUAGGGUAAAAGCCUACCAAGGCGACGAUCCAUAGCUGGUCUGAGAGGAUGAUCAGCCACACUGGGACUGAGACACGGCCCAGACUCCUACGGGAGGCAGCAGUGGGGAAUAGUGGACAAUGGGCGAAAGCCUGAUCCAGCAAUGCCGCGUGAGUGAUGAAGGCCGUAGGGUUGUAAAGCUCUUUUACCCGGGAUGAUAAUGACAGUACCGGGAGAAUAAGCUCCGGCUAACUCCGUG
Molecule: ribosomal RNA, 433 nt
Filed under: uncultured bacterium
Lineage: Bacteria
Description: partial 16S ribosomal RNA
Rfam family: Bacterial small subunit ribosomal RNA
Source: RNAcentral